CCUACGGGAGGCAGCAGUGGGGAAUAUUGCACAAUGGUUGCAAGCCUGAUGCAGCCAUGCCGCGUGUGUGAAGAAGGCCUUCGGGUUGUAAAGCACUUUCAGUCAGGAGGAAAGGUUAGUAGUUAAUACCUGCUAGCUGUGACGUUACUGACAGAAGAAGCACCGGCUAACUCCGUGCCAGCAGCCGCGGUAAU
This 194-nucleotide ribosomal RNA is filed under the name uncultured marine bacterium. RNAcentral describes it as "partial 16S ribosomal RNA". It matches the Rfam family "Bacterial small subunit ribosomal RNA", at positions 338 to 524 of the family's 1533-position model. The record is from RNAcentral.